CCUACGGGCGGCAGCAGUGAGGAAUAUUGGUCAAUGGACGAGAGUCUGAACCAGCCAAGUAGCGUGAAGGAUGACUGCCCUAUGGGUUGUAAACUUCUUUUAUAUGGGAAUAAAAUGUUCCACGUGUGGGAUUUUGUAUGUACCAUAUGAAUAAGGAUCGGCUAACUCCGUGCCAGCAGCCGCGGUAAUACGGAGGAUCCGAGCGUUAUCCGGAUUUAUUGGGUUUAAAGGGAGCGUAGGUGGAUUGUUAAGUCAGUUGUGAAAGUUUGCGGCUCAACCGUAAAAUUGCAGUUGAAACUGGCAGUCUUGAGUACAGUAGAGGUGGGCGGAAUUCGUGGUGUAGCGGUGAAAUGCUUAGAGAUCACGAAGAACUCCGAUUGCGAAGGCAGUUCACUGGACUGCAACUGACACUGAGGCUCGAAAGUGUGGGUAUCAAACAGGAUUAGAUACCCGGGUAGUC
This 460-nucleotide ribosomal RNA is filed under the name uncultured bacterium. RNAcentral's name for it is "partial 16S ribosomal RNA". It matches the Rfam family "Bacterial small subunit ribosomal RNA", at positions 338 to 795 of the family's 1533-position model. The record is from RNAcentral.